Long non-coding RNA from Oncorhynchus masou masou (cherry salmon), 331 nucleotides. RefSeq lists it as uncharacterized. Lineage: Eukaryota; Metazoa; Chordata; Actinopteri; Salmoniformes; Salmonidae. The record is from RefSeq and is a predicted model, not a curated record. The transcript has 3 exons.
UCCUAGGAAAAAGAGUGAGCUUUGGAGGGAAUCUCAGUUCAGGAGAUGCAUCUUUGUCUCUCUCCAUGGUGGAGUACAGUCACAGCCGAUGGUACAGAUGUAGGUUGCAGAUGGGACAAAAUGAACGCUGCUUUGAGGUCAAGCUGCAGGUUAAAGAACAGCAAGAGGAGAAACUGGUUGUUAGGACUUUCACCACAACUGAACUAACAAACCCUGCAGUUACUGCCAGGGGGAGUCCAGAAGAGUUGCGACUGCUACAGUUGGAACGGCUACUAUAGUGGCUUCAUCCAUGUGUGUGAUUGUCAUAAUGGCCCGCACGCUGGGAUUGAUC